UAGGGAAUCUUCGGCAAUGGGGGGAACCCUGACCGAGCAACGCCGCGUGAGUGAAGAAGGUUUUCGGAUCGUAAAGCUCUGUUGUUAAGGAAGAACGAGUGUGAGAAUGGAAAGUUCAUACUGUGACGGUACUUAACCAGAAAGGGACGGCUAACUACGUGCCAGCAGCCGCGGUAAUACGUAGGUCCCGAGCGUUGUCCGGAUUUAUUGGGCGUAAAGCGAGCGCAGGCGGUUAGAUAAGUCUGAAGUUAAAGGCAGUGGCUCAACCAUUGUAGGCUAUGGAGACUGUUUAACUUGAGUGCAGAAGGGGAGAGUGGAAUUCCAUGUGUAGCGGUGAAAUGCGUAGAUAUAUGGAGGAACACCGGUGGCGAAAGCGGCUCUCUGGUCUGUAACUGACGCUGAGGCUCGAAAGCGUGGGGAGCGAACAGG
RNAcentral lists this ribosomal RNA (429 nucleotides) under Bacteroidota bacterium. RNAcentral's name for it is "Bacteroidetes bacterium partial 16S ribosomal RNA". It matches the Rfam family "Bacterial small subunit ribosomal RNA", at positions 355 to 776 of the family's 1533-position model. The record is from RNAcentral. Lineage: Bacteria; Pseudomonadati; Bacteroidota.